RNAcentral lists this ribosomal RNA (622 nucleotides) under uncultured bacterium. RNAcentral describes it as "bacterial SSU rRNA". The stretch from base 1 to 524 matches the Rfam family "Bacterial small subunit ribosomal RNA", at positions 338 to 873 of the family's 1533-position model. The record is from RNAcentral.
CCUACGGGAGGCAGCAGUGGGGAAUAUUGGGCAAUGGAGGAAACUCUGACCCAGCGACGCCGCGUGCGGGAUGAAGGCCUUCGGGUUGUAAACCGCUUUCAGUAGGGAAGAAGCGAAAGUGACGGUACCUACAAAAGAAGCACCGGCUAACUAUGUGCCAGCAGCCGCGGUAAUACAUAGGGUGCAAGCGUUGUCCGGAAUUAUUGGGCGUAAAGAGCUCGUAGGUCGUUUGUUACGUCGGAUGUGAAAACCCUGAGGCUCAACCUCAGGCCUGCAUUCGAUACGGGCAAACUAGAGUUUGGUAGGGGAGACUGGAAUUCCUGGUGUAGCGGUGGAAUGCGCAGAUAUCAGGAGGAACACCAAUGGCGAAGGCAGGUCUCUGGGCCAAUACUGACACUGAGGAGCGAAAGUCUGGGGAGCGAACAGGAUUAGAUACCCUGGUAGUCCAGACCGUAAACGGUGGGCACUAGUUGUGGGAACCUUCCACGGUUUCUGCGACGCNGCUACGACAUUAAGUGCCCGCCGUCGGGAGGUACGAGUCGCGAGAAGUUAAACGUAACGAAAGGAAAGUUAGUAACGGUCGUGAGACGUGCCGAACGGACGACGACGAGGGGAGGUUAGG